AUGAAGAAUGUCGCUGCAGUGAAGACGACUACAUCAGAAUUUCAGAUUUUGCAACAUGAGAGUCUGAAAGACAGGCCAACACAGGCGGCUCUUUGGAAACAAGAGACCUGGUACUUCCAACAGCCAAAAAGCUGGCCAAACACCAGGAUGAGGGGAAAGACAUAUCAGGUGUCUUCAAUUGGAGUCUUCUUGUCUUUGUUUCCUGUCUUGGAGCUCUGAGCCCUGCUGCGGAAAGGGACUUUAUUCACCAGCACAGGCAUUGUGAGAAGGUUUACAUAACUAUAAUGAUGAGUAAAUGUGAUGACACAGAAAAAUUGUGUCAGGGACAUUAAAAUGGAAGGAAACAAGCUAACAUUUCUUAGUACUUAAGGUGAGAUAAUUUUUAAAUCAUUUGUUAAAAUCACUAUAUUCUGUUCAUUUGAAUGUAACCAAAAAGUAGGGGAAAUAUAUAUAU
RNAcentral lists this long non-coding RNA (454 nucleotides) under Vulpes vulpes (red fox). RNAcentral describes it as "lncRNA (ENSVVUG00000023899.1)". Lineage: Eukaryota; Metazoa; Chordata; Mammalia; Carnivora; Canidae. The record is from RNAcentral.